This 495-nucleotide ribosomal RNA is filed under the name uncultured bacterium. RNAcentral's name for it is "partial 16S ribosomal RNA". It matches the Rfam family "Bacterial small subunit ribosomal RNA", at positions 28 to 507 of the family's 1533-position model. The record is from RNAcentral.
GACGAACGCUGGCGGCGUGCCUAAUACAUGCAAGUAGAACGCUGAAGGAGGAGCUUGCUCUUCUGGAUGAGUUGCGACCGGGUGAGUAACCCGUAGGUAACCUGCCUGGUAGCGGGGGAUAACUAUUGGAAACGAUAGCUAAUACCGCAUAAGAGUAGAUGUUGCAUGACAUUUACUUAAAAGGUGCACUUGCAUCACUACUAGAUGGACCUGCGUUGUAUUAGCUAGAUGGUGGGGUAACGGCUUACCAAGGCGACGAUACAUAGCCGACCUGAGAGGGUGAUCUGAGACGCUGGGACGGGAGCACGGCCCAGAAUCCUGCGAGUGGCAGCAGGAGGGGAUCUUCGGGAAAGGAAGGAAGUCUGACCGUGGAACGACGCGUGAGUGAAUGAGGUUUUCGGGUCGUGAAGCUCAGUUGUAAGAGAAGAACGAGUGUGAGUGUCGAAAGUUCACACAAUGACGGUAUCUGACCAAAAAGGGCCGGCUAACUACGUG